RNAcentral lists this non-coding RNA (75 nucleotides) under Ruminococcaceae bacterium D16. RNAcentral's name for it is "Fluoride riboswitch aptamer (crcB RNA motif)". It matches the Rfam family "Fluoride riboswitch aptamer (crcB RNA motif)". The record is from Rfam by way of RNAcentral. RNAcentral also lists the same sequence under 1 other name. Lineage: Bacteria; Bacillati; Bacillota; Clostridia; Eubacteriales; Oscillospiraceae.
CGCAAUAAAGGGAAUGAGGUCUCCCUUGUCCUUCGGGACUAAACCGCCUACAAGGCUGAUGGCUUCUGCGAUUUU